RNAcentral lists this ribosomal RNA (253 nucleotides) under uncultured bacterium. Its description in RNAcentral is "partial 16S ribosomal RNA". It matches the Rfam family "Bacterial small subunit ribosomal RNA", at positions 524 to 776 of the family's 1533-position model. The record is from RNAcentral.
GACGGAGGGUGCUAGCGUUGUUCGGAAUGACUGGGCGUAAAGGGCGCGUAGGCGGCCGACCCAGUCGGGUGUGAAAGCCCGGGGCUCAACCCCGGAACGGCACCCGAUACUGGUUGGCUGGAGACCGAGAGAGGUGAGUGGAAUACCCAGUGUAGAGGUGAAAUUCGUAGAUAUUGGGUGGAACACCGGUGGCGAAAGCGGCUCACUGGCUCGGUACUGACGCUGAGGCGCGAAAGCGUGGGGAGCAAACAGG